CAAGAGCGUAUAUUAAAGUUGUUGCAGUUAAAAAGCUCGUAGUUGGAUUUCUGGUACAAACGCGCCUGGCCCCGCUUACGUGAGUGCCGGUGCGCGUUUGCCAUCCUUCUAGAAAACGUCUCUACUCGGGCAACUGAGCCGGAUUCGCGAUCUAGGAUCUUUUACUUUAGAAAAAUUAGAGUGUUUAAAAGCAGGCUAUUGCCUUGAAUACAUUAGCAUGGAAUAAUAAUCUAGGACUUCGGUUCUAUUUUGUUGGUUUCUAGUACUGAAGUAAUGAUUGGAUAGGGAGUAUUGGGGGUUGGCUAGUAUUGACCGGCCAGAAGGUGAAAUCUUUGGAUUACGGUCAAGACUAACUUAUAGCGAAAG
This 366-nucleotide ribosomal RNA is filed under the name uncultured eukaryote. RNAcentral's name for it is "bacterial SSU rRNA". It matches the Rfam family "Eukaryotic small subunit ribosomal RNA", at positions 592 to 951 of the family's 1831-position model. The record is from RNAcentral.